GUAAUUGUAGCUUAAAAAACUAAAGCACGGCACUGAAGUUGCCGAGAUGGAAAAUCAAAAAUUCCCAAAAACA
This 73-nucleotide transfer RNA is filed under the name Sphenomorphus indicus. RNAcentral's name for it is "tRNA-Phe". It matches the Rfam family "tRNA". Rfam says of the family: Transfer RNA (tRNA) molecules are approximately 80 nucleotides in length. Their secondary structure includes four short double-helical elements and three loops (D, anti-codon, and T loops). Further hydrogen bonds mediate the characteristic L-shaped molecular structure. tRNAs have two regions of fundamental functional importance: the anti-codon, which is responsible for specific mRNA codon recognition, and the 3' end, to which the tRNAs corresponding amino acid is attached (by aminoacyl-tRNA synthetases). tRNAs cope with the degeneracy of the genetic code in two manners: having more than one tRNA (with a specific anti-codon) for a particular amino acid; and 'wobble' base-pairing, i.e. permitting non-standard base-pairing at the 3rd anti-codon position. Lineage: Eukaryota; Metazoa; Chordata; Lepidosauria; Squamata; Scincidae. The record is from RNAcentral.